This 507-nucleotide long non-coding RNA is filed under the name Hordeum vulgare. Its description in RNAcentral is "long non-coding RNA (HVUL_LNC003850)". The record is from RNAcentral. Lineage: Eukaryota; Viridiplantae; Streptophyta; Magnoliopsida; Poales; Poaceae.
GCCAUCGAAGAGGGAGGGAUCGAAGAAGAAGAUUGCUCUGCUCGGCUGCUGCUGUUGCGAUGAUUGGGAUGGUGGGUGCCGUGGUUUGUUUCAAUUCCAUCUACGUAUGUUGCUUGCCGAGCACCUUCACAAAAGAGAAUCUCAUCCUGUAUGCAGAUACUUUGUCCUACAGUGAUAGAUGAGUGUCAUCAAUAACCAAGUGUAUGAAAGGCAAAACCAUCAUAUGACAGAUUGUCAAAUCCUGCAUCCAUCGUAGAUGCAUGAAUGUUUCACUUUGUGUCAGAGCAGUAACCAUGGAAAUAGUUACCGGUUCAGCACCAUUGAAUAAAGAAUUUUGAGCAGUUUUAACAUGACCCAUCUGGCCCUCUUACCUGCUGUUUUCACGUCAUGAAACUUUUCGUGCUACCUUCCAGAUGAUAGAUGUUCAAUCUGCAUUUCCGUGAAGCCUAGAUGCUCGAAAUACCGGAGUUUGGACUGGAUUAGUUAAUGGCAGUGUGUGCAUCACGA